UACGGAGGGGGCUAGCGUUGUCCGAAGUUACUGGGCGUAAAGCGCGCGUAGGCGGGUUGGUAAGUCCGCUGUGAAAGCCCGGAGCUCAACUCCGGAGGGUCGGUGGAUACUGCCAGUCUUGAAGGUGCUAGGGGGAGAUGGAAUUACCGGUGUAGCGGUGGAAUGCGUAGAUAUCGGUAGGAACACCAGUGGCGAAGGCGGUCUCCUGGGGCAUUCUUGACGCUGAGGCGCGAAAGCUGGGGGAGCGAACGGG
RNAcentral lists this ribosomal RNA (253 nucleotides) under uncultured bacterium. RNAcentral describes it as "partial 16S ribosomal RNA". It matches the Rfam family "Bacterial small subunit ribosomal RNA", at positions 524 to 776 of the family's 1533-position model. The record is from RNAcentral.